This is a long non-coding RNA of Acanthochromis polyacanthus (spiny chromis), 295 nucleotides long. RefSeq lists it as uncharacterized. The record is from RefSeq and is a predicted model, not a curated record. Lineage: Eukaryota; Metazoa; Chordata; Actinopteri; Pomacentridae. The transcript has 2 exons.
AUCUUCUUCUUCUUCUAGUUUGCAGGUCUUCAGGUGUUUCAGGAGCAGCUCAGACACUGAUUGAGAUUAAAGUUAAAUCAUUUUUCUUUGCUGUGUUUUUGGUUCUCCAGAUGUUCCUUCAGUGUUUGAUGGUGAUGGUCUUGACCUCGGUGAAGAAGUGAUACGAAUCCUUCCCUCCUUCCCGUCCCACUCCGGAGUUCUUCAUGCCUCCAAAGGGCAGGUUCGGGUCUCCGAUCAGCCAGCAGUUGGUCCAGACCACACCGGCCUGGAUCUUCUGGGCCACUCGGUGGACCUU